CUUUUUUUCCCUUUUCUGAUUGCUACUACUAUUUUGUUGUUUAUGAGGAUUAUGUUAUUCUUUUUAAUUUUUAGAUUUUUUAUUUCUGUAGCUUGGAUGAGCCCGUGAGGUGGGGUUUCAAAGAUUUCCACUUUAUUGAUGCAAGAAUUGGAUGUUGGGUACUAGCACUUGAAGAUAUAUGCUUUAGAUUGAUCCUUUUACGUGCGAGGUCUGAUAGGAGUUUCUUCCGUCAGGUAAUUUUUUUGUUCUUGUUUUUCUUGCAAAUUCUAUUUGUCUCUGUCUUUCAGUUUUGCUAUAUUUGUCAUUCUUUAUUGACUUCCUUUUAUUUUGUUUUCUUUUCUGGGUGCUGAGCUGUGUGUUAGGUUGAGCAAUGUAUAAAUGAGGAGAAAGCAAGAGCUUGUCAUUUUCUCUGCUCACCUUCAAUUGAGAAGAUGUUGUGGUAAUGCCUACAGUUAUAGAAAUAAUAGUAGAUAUACCUGAGGAUUCACAAGUGACACUUACAGGGAAUAUCGACGAACAAGAUUUUGGAUGCGAGAAAGCUUUUAAGGGUCCAUGUUCAGACAUGCCAUCUAACCAAUUACUCCAUGUCUCACGUGAACGUUGAAUUGAGUGAUCGUGUCGCUGGGCGGCUAAGAGGAAAGAAUCUGUUGUCCUGCCUGUGUGACACAUUCAUGUUUUCUGAUUAGGAAUGCAGCUCAAUGUUAAAUUGAUUAUUGUAAUUUUUAUUUUUUUUUAGCCUU
Coffea arabica (coffee) is the source of this 740-nucleotide non-coding RNA. Lineage: Eukaryota; Viridiplantae; Streptophyta; Magnoliopsida; Gentianales; Rubiaceae. The record is from RefSeq and is a predicted model, not a curated record.